Molecule: long non-coding RNA, 1346 nt
Organism: Juglans regia (Persian walnut)
Lineage: Eukaryota; Viridiplantae; Streptophyta; Magnoliopsida; Fagales; Juglandaceae
Exons: 3
Source: RefSeq, a predicted model, not a curated record
CUGCUUGAGAAAUUUCCUCUGGAGAAUAUCGAAAGGUCACGAUAUUAUUUUCCUGGAAUCGAACGAAAAAUCUAAAUGCACCUGGAUGUUAAAUAAAACGGUUCGUUUUGGAGUGGUGAGCCGAACGGCAUCUCCCUUCUCUUCUCUUCCUUCUCUUCUUUUCUCCGUUUUCGUUCUCUCUCAAUUCUCCUCCAUUCUCGUGUCAACCUUGUAAUUACUAUGGUCAUGUUGGAACCGUCCAUUUUCAUGGCAGCAACGACCGGGGGAUACAUUUCCAUUUCAAGGCCGAAGAAGUUUCUGAAGAACCUUGAAUAAGUGCUUGGGUUGACUCGAUGAGAGCUUGUUCCACUACCCGUAUCAGAACCAUCAACCAUGCCUUCUUUGGCCGACCAUGACCAGAGUUCUUGGAUUAUGAGAAAGACGAUGAGAAAACUAAAGCAACUCCAGGGGCUCAAGUGGAGCACAACAAGUUGAUCUGUGUCUCUGUUCAUUUUCGAUGGGGAUGGGAGACAGACGAAGGGGAGAAGAAGAUGAUCUGAAAACUCUUCUUUCAGGCAAUUUUUGAGCACCGAUGCGCACCGAAGUUGACAUGGUUAAUGAAACGGUGCGUGCUCGUGAGGCGGGAGACAAAAUUUGAAGGGCUUUGUGGGAAGAGUCCGAAACGGCACGUUUUGCAUUUUAAAUCCUAACUCAGUGCGUUUCAUUCUACCUUAACACCAAUUCCUUCUCCUUUCAUCGACUGCUCCUUCUCCUUCUCCUUCAUCCAUUCCCGCAACUUUCUCCUUCUUCCUCAUUCCCCGUUCGGUCAUCGUUUCCUUGUUGAAGGCGGUUCCCCAUUCCCCCCUCAGUCGGGGCUUUGGCGUGUUUUCCGUUGUCCUCACUCUGUAAGCAAGUUCAGUAACCAUCGAACAGAGAUGUUUGUCAUUGUGUUGAGCAGAACAGAGAUUGUAAAGAGGGAGUUGGGAGUCCACAACAACCAACUUGAUAUUCAAAGGCAACAAGCAGACAUCUAGUGUGAACGCACAGUUCUUCAUAUCUAUUGGGUGAUUUAUAUUUUAAUUUUGUUGUACUUGAUAGGAUCACAGUGAAUACCCACUGAUAAAGGCAGCUUGAUAUAUGGUUGAUGCAGUUGGACAAAAGCUCCAAGAAUGUCUAGACUAGAUCCGUCUGUAUGUAGUCACCAUAGUGCCAUUAGUAUGCUGCAACCCUGUGAGGUUUUCUCUCUAGUUUUGUUAGUCAUUUGAUGUUGUAAUAGAAUUAUGGAUGUAGCUGGAAACUCUGUGGAAUAGUCCACGUCCACCAGCAGGCAUAGGGCGUUGUAGAUUCUGAUGGAAGUGAGACUUUUA